CUGCUGCCUUCCGUAGGAGUCUGGUCCGUGUCUCAGUACCAGUGUGGGGGACCUUCCUCUCAGAACCCCUACGCAUCGUCGCCUCGGUGGGCCGUUACCCCGCCGACUAGCUAAUGCGCCGCAUGCCCAUCCCCCGCCGGAAUCGCUUCCUUUGGCCGCAGACCCAUGCAGGUCCGCGGCGUUACGCGGUAUUAGUCGGGAUUUCUCCCGGUUAUCCCCCUGCGGGGGCAGGUCGCAUACGUGUUACUCACCCGUGCGCCGGUCGCCGGCAGG
RNAcentral lists this ribosomal RNA (273 nucleotides) under uncultured bacterium. RNAcentral describes it as "partial 16S ribosomal RNA". The record is from RNAcentral.